CUAUGCGCCUUGCCAGCCCGCUCAGUCAGAGUUUGAUCCUGGCUCAGAUUGAACGCUGGCGGCAGGCCUAACACAUGCAAGUCGAGCGGUAGCACAAGAGAGCUUGCUCUCUGGGUGACGAGCGGCGGACGGGUGAGUAAUGUCUGGGAAACUGCCUGAUGGCGGGGGAUAACUAGUGGAAACGGUAGCUAAUACCGCAUAACGUCGCAAGACCAAAGUGGGGGACCUUCGGGCCUCACGCCAUCAGAUGUGCCCAGGUGGGAUUAGCUGGUAGGUGGGGUAACGGCUCACCUAGGCGACGAUCCCUAGCUGGUCUGAGAGGAUGACCAGCCACACUGGAACUGAGACACGGUCCAG
Molecule: ribosomal RNA, 357 nt
Filed under: uncultured bacterium
Lineage: Bacteria
Description: bacterial SSU rRNA
Rfam family: Bacterial small subunit ribosomal RNA
Source: RNAcentral